GACGAACGCNGGCGGCGUGCUUAACACAUGCAAGUCGAACGAAGAGCGAUGGAAGCUUGCUUCUAUCAAUCUUAGUGGCGAACGGGUGAGUAACGCGUAAUCAACCUGCCCUUCAGAGGGGGACAACAGUUGGAAACGACUGCUAAUACCGCAUACGAUCUAACCUUGGCAUCGAGGAUGGAUGAAAGGUGGCCUCUAUUUAUAAGCUAUCACUGAAGGAGGGGAUUGCGUCUGAUUAGCUAGUUGGAGGGGUAACGGCCCACCAAGGCGAUGAUCAGUAGCCGGUCUGAGAGGAUGAACGGCCACAUUGGGACUGAGACACGGCCCAGACUCCUACGGGAGGCAGCAGUGGGGAAUCUUCCGCAAUGGACGAGAGUCUGACGGAGCAACGCCGCGUGAGUGAUGACGGCCUUCGGGUUGUAAAGCUCUGUUAAUCGGGACGAAAGGCCUUCUUGCGAAUAGUGAGAAGGAUGAC
RNAcentral lists this ribosomal RNA (475 nucleotides) under uncultured bacterium. RNAcentral describes it as "bacterial SSU rRNA". It matches the Rfam family "Bacterial small subunit ribosomal RNA", at positions 28 to 473 of the family's 1533-position model. The record is from RNAcentral.